UUGGGACUUUCCUUUUUGAAUUUUCCUCGGAGUUCAGUAUUUUAGUGUUUUUACUUUUUUUUUUGACACAUUCCCCAUCUCCAUUCUCAAUUUUAUUGACGAAUAAACCAUGAAAAUUAGACCAAGGUCAGAUGAAUCCUGGCAGACUGACAUGUACCUGUUACAAUCGUUACAUACACCCCAUAUAGUUGACCUACUGCUCAAAAUAUCUGAGAAUUUGACCUACUGUGGAUUCAUUAUUAUUCGUUGGAUAUACCAAUUAACGUGGUUUUCGUGGGUUCAGGUGAACCACGAAUUUAAAUGUUCAACGACGUACAAAUCUUCUACCAGUUCGAAUGCAGACUUUGGCAAAACCACGNA
This 360-nucleotide long non-coding RNA is filed under the name Mytilus galloprovincialis (Mediterranean mussel). Lineage: Eukaryota; Metazoa; Mollusca; Bivalvia; Mytilida; Mytilidae. The record is from RNAcentral.